Molecule: ribosomal RNA, 253 nt
Filed under: uncultured bacterium
Lineage: Bacteria
Description: partial 16S ribosomal RNA
Rfam family: Bacterial small subunit ribosomal RNA
Source: RNAcentral
UACGAAGGGGGCUAGCGUUGUUCGGAAUUACUGGGCGUAAAGCGCACGUAGGCGGAUUUGUAAGUCAGGGGUGAAAUCCUGGAGCUCAACUCCAGAACUGCCUUUGAUACUGAGAAGCUUGAGUCCGGGAGAGGUGAGUGGAACUGCGAGUGUAGAGGUGAAAUUCGUAGAUAUUCGCAAGAACACCAGUGGCGAAGGCGGCUCACUGGCCCGGUACUGACGCUGAGGUGCGAAAGCGUGGGGAGCAAACAGG